UACAGAGGGUGCGAGCGUUGUUCGGAAUUAUUGGGCGUAAAGGGCGCGUAGGCGGUUUGUCGCGUCUGCCGUGAAAGUCCGGGGCUCAACUCCGGAUCUGCGGUGGGUACGGGCAGACUAGAGUGAUGUAGGGGAGACUGGAAUUCCUGGUGUAGCGGUGAAAUGCGCAGAUAUCAGGAGGAACACCGAUGGCGAAGGCAGGUCUCUGGGCAUUAACUGACGCUGAGGAGCGAAAGCAUGGGGAGCGAACAGG
RNAcentral lists this ribosomal RNA (253 nucleotides) under uncultured bacterium. RNAcentral describes it as "partial 16S ribosomal RNA". It matches the Rfam family "Bacterial small subunit ribosomal RNA", at positions 524 to 776 of the family's 1533-position model. The record is from RNAcentral.